UGGGGAAUAUUGGACAAUGCGCGCAAGCCUGAUCCAGCCAUGCCGCGUGAGUGAUGAAGGCCCUAGGGUUGUAAAGCUCUUUCACCGGUGAAGAUAAUGACGGUAACCGGAGAAGAAGCCCCGGCUAACUUCGUGCCAGCAGCCGCGGUAAUACGAAGGGGGCUAGCGUUGUUCGGAUUUACUGGGCGUAAAGCGCACGUAGGCGGACUUUUAAGUCAGGGGUGAAAUCCCGGGGCUCAACCCCGGAACUGCCUUUGAUACUGGAAGUCUUGAGUAUGGUAGAGGUGAGUGGAAUUCCGAGUGUAGAGGUGAAAUUCGUAGAUAUUCGGAGGAACACCAGUGGCGAAGGCGGCUCACUGGACCAUUACUGACGCUGAGGUGCGAAAGCGUGGGGAGCAAACAGG
Molecule: ribosomal RNA, 404 nt
Filed under: Brucella melitensis
Lineage: Bacteria; Pseudomonadati; Pseudomonadota; Alphaproteobacteria; Hyphomicrobiales; Brucellaceae
Also listed under: 1 other name
Description: partial 16S ribosomal RNA
Rfam family: Bacterial small subunit ribosomal RNA
Source: RNAcentral